Molecule: transfer RNA, 72 nt
Filed under: Bos taurus (domestic cattle)
Lineage: Eukaryota; Metazoa; Chordata; Mammalia; Artiodactyla; Bovidae
Also listed under: 5 other names
Rfam family: tRNA
About the family: Transfer RNA (tRNA) molecules are approximately 80 nucleotides in length. Their secondary structure includes four short double-helical elements and three loops (D, anti-codon, and T loops).
Source: Rfam by way of RNAcentral
UCCCUGGUGGUCUAGUGGUUAAAACUCCACGCUUCUAAUGUAAGGGCACAGGUUCAAUCCCUGUCAGGGGAC